This 429-nucleotide ribosomal RNA is filed under the name Chloroflexota bacterium. RNAcentral describes it as "Chloroflexi bacterium partial 16S ribosomal RNA". It matches the Rfam family "Bacterial small subunit ribosomal RNA", at positions 355 to 776 of the family's 1533-position model. Lineage: Bacteria; Bacillati; Chloroflexota. The record is from RNAcentral.
UGGGGAAUAUUGCACAAUGGGCGCAAGCCUGAUGCAGCCAUGCUGCGUGUGUGAAGAAGGCCUUCGGGUUGUAAAGCACUUUCAGCGGGGAGGAAGGCGGUGAGGUUAAUAACCUCAUCGAUUGACGUUACCCGCAGAAGAAGCACCGGCUAACUCCGUGCCAGCAGCCGCGGUAAUACGGAGGGUGCAAGCGUUAAUCGGAAUUACUGGGCGUAAAGCGCACGCAGGCGGUUGAUUGAGUCAGAUGUGAAAUCCCCGGGCUUAACCCGGGAAUUGCAUCUGAUACUGGUCAGCUAGAGUCUUGUAGAGGGGGGUAGAAUUCCAUGUGUAGCGGUGAAAUGCGUAGAGAUCUGGAGGAAUACCGGUGGCGAAGGCGGCCCCCUGGACGAAGACUGACGCUCAGGUGCGAAAGCGUGGGGAGCAAACAGG